ACGCUGUGAUGGCUGAAAUGAUGAGGAACAGCUGGAGGAUCCAGGAACCACAACCAACUCAGGAUACAGCAUCCAAAGGUCUGAAGACAGAAGGCCUGACAGAGUUACCCACCAAACCAUCAAGUGCUGAUAUGACAGGAGACACUCUGACAAGGAGCAGAGCUGGAAUAACCCCUUCACCCAUUGCAAAGUUGCUGUCCUGCGGGAGGUGAGACCCUGGUACCCCCACAGCUGUGACCAGUGCAACACAGAUGAAAACCAUGCCUGCGGAUCUUGGCUUCCAAAACCUGAUUCCUGAAGGGGACUGGAAUUGCUGGAGGGGCCCAUCUGCACCAACCACCCACACCUGCCUUCCAGCCAAAGCCACUCAAGGAGCAUCAUGCAGCAGGGCUCAGUGCAAGCUGUCAGUGCCCAGUGUUCCCCAAGGCCUGGUGUUACUUGGGGCACUGCCCUGCACAAGCCCUUCCCCGCCUGACAUCUGAACCCAGGCUCCCCAGCAGUGCCCAGGCUCAGUGCUGACCCAGCCUUCCCCACAGCCCAUCUGCUGAACUCACCCCAGAUGAAAGGCCUCAAAUGACAGGAUAGAGUGCCGAGAGCUGGCAGCAGAGAUUUCUUCUGCAGACAUCUUGCUGGCUGUUUUAAGGUCUUCUGCCUCUAAGUGGCACCAUGCUGAGUGAUUGAACACUUGCUAGAAUCUGUUCUACCUUUUAUUGUAAUGAUUUCUUACAGAGCUCCCACUUUCCAAACUCUGAACUUCCUGGAUGUCAGAGCCCUUUCGUCAGAAACACCAGAGCCUUCUGGAGUGAUGGUCCCCAGUACUACAAAAUCCCUUUGGAAAGUCACAGCUCUGAAACCAUCACUGGGAAAGACUGAACUUUAGUUUUUAGAGAAGGCUGUUAUAUCCCUGGGGUUUGUAAUGAGAGAUAUUACUAAAAUCCAGCCAGGGAGAGCUUCACUGGUAUAAACUGCCAGAGGGUUACACUGAAUCAUACCUAUGCACGACCGGGGUUUAUGGUUUAGUAUUUGCUUAAAGUAAUUAGGCCCAGACUGUCUCAUAUGCAACUUUUACUCAGAAAGCAGGAAACAAUUUGGGAGGGGAAUAGAGGGUGUCCCAGAAUGGAUGGGUCCAAUCUAAACACACAUAUGCACACACACACUUACCCUGGGAGUCCUGAAACCACUGGAGUAAACUGUACUCCUCAAAUUAGCCAUCCAGCACAAGAAAUGUUGCAUUUCUUAAACCAGAAGGAAUUAAUCUCCUCUCAGUGCCAUAAUGGGCUCAUAAUUCUAAAAUAUUCAGAUAUUCAACCAUCUACCAUGUUAUCUGCCUUUGCUUUACUGCUUUAUGAUCCUCACACAUUUUGCAGAGUUUGAGGCUGUUUGCUCUACUUCAAAAUGCAGUCAGGUUUCCUGUUCCCAUGCAAGAAAACAAAUCCACAGCCCAAACUCCUCUACCUCACAACAACGAACAAGCUAGGCAGGAAAAUCAUUGACACUUUAAGAGGACUAGAAAAAAAGUACACCAAGAGGAAAGUUUUUCUGUAUUUGAGGAGGUUGUCACGAUAGUAAUAGAGUACAGUGAGUAGUGGAGACUGGGAGAUUUAUGUGCCAAUUCUGUGUAUGAUUUAUUUAGAUGAAUUGCUCUGUAUCAAUAUGUAAAAAUCUAAUAAAUAUAACUCCCUAUACAAAGGGUUGCUCUAGUCCCAGUGUUAUAGUGAACAGUUUUGGCAGAAAGUCAGGAUGUGCAUUAAAAACACACUUUUUGAGAAGUCUAAUAAAUAAAAGCUCUGAAAUGUAGUUUCCUACUGAGAAUGGCAUUUUAAAUCAUUUUGAUAAAGAACUUCAAUUAGGCCUUAAAAGGAGGGGGAUGCUAGGUCCCUGAAACUAAUUAUUUAUAGGUAUUUUGAAUAUCCAAGUCCCAGAAAGCUGGCCUCCAUCCCCCAUUCUCUGCCACAAUACGUGGGAAAGAAACAGCCAUUCCCCUUCCCCCCCAACCAAAUUAAAAGUCUGAAGUGUUAGAAAGGGGAGGAGAAAAAGAGAAUUAAAAUGGGGAACAGGCACCUGAACAAGGAGCUUCAGAAGUCCCAAAAAACCCCUGCACAUUUGCUACCAAAAUAAAUGGUAUGAGCAGGGGAUAGGCCUUCAGUUCUCCUCCACAUUGCUCCAGAGAAGUGGGCUGUUAAUGGCUCUAGUCCCCCAAAGAAGGAAUACACUGUUAUUUGUUAAACAGCAGCAGGAAUGUUUUUAGAAGUGAAUAAGCACCCAAACAGCCCCAGUCUUUCUCAACGUCAAAGCAAUUUAGAGACUGCACAGAAGACAAAAUUGUUGGUGACUUAAGCUUCUAAGUCACUUAGGUGCUUCUGAAUACAUUACCUCUCAAGCGCAGCUGACAUUUUGCAUCUGUGCAGCCGCCCA
Apus apus (common swift) is the source of this 2415-nucleotide long non-coding RNA. RefSeq lists it as uncharacterized. The transcript is spliced from 3 exons. The record is from RefSeq and is a predicted model, not a curated record. Lineage: Eukaryota; Metazoa; Chordata; Aves; Apodiformes; Apodidae.